UCCCAGUUAGUACAAUGGUUAGUAUAGGGCACUCUCAGUUACCGAUCCGACGAUCUCAACUGAACUGCUCAGAUCAGGGUUCGAUUCCCUGGCCGGGAA
RNAcentral lists this transfer RNA (99 nucleotides) under Mycosarcoma maydis (corn smut). Its description in RNAcentral is "tRNA-Glu for anticodon CUC". It matches the Rfam family "tRNA". From Rfam's summary of the family: Transfer RNA (tRNA) molecules are approximately 80 nucleotides in length. Their secondary structure includes four short double-helical elements and three loops (D, anti-codon, and T loops). The record is from RNAcentral. Lineage: Eukaryota; Fungi; Basidiomycota; Ustilaginomycetes; Ustilaginales.